RNAcentral lists this long non-coding RNA (1755 nucleotides) under Homo sapiens (human). RNAcentral's name for it is "non-protein coding lnc-DLK1-35:25". The stretch from base 536 to 640 matches the Rfam family "Maternally expressed 3 conserved region 2". Lineage: Eukaryota; Metazoa; Chordata; Mammalia; Primates; Hominidae. The record is from RNAcentral.
AGCCCCUAGCGCAGACGGCGGAGAGCAGAGAGGGAGCGCGCCUUGGCUCGCUGGCCUUGGCGGCGGCUCCUCAGGAGAGCUGGGGCGCCCACGAGAGGAUCCCUCACCCGGGUCUCUCCUCAGGGAUGACAUCAUCCGUCCACCUCCUUGUCUUCAAGGACCACCUCCUCUCCAUGCUGAGCUGCUGCCAAGGGGCCUGCUGCCCAUCUACACCUCACGAGGGCACUAGGAGCACGGUUUCCUGGAUCCCACCAACAUACAAAGCAGCCACUCACUGACCCCCAGGACCAGGAUGGCAAAGGAUGAAGAGGACCGGAACUGACCAGCCAGCUGUCCCUCUUACCUAAAGACUUAAACCAAUGCCCUAGUGAGGGGGCAUUGGGCAUUAAGCCCUGACCUUUGCUAUGCUCAUACUUUGACUCUAUGAGUACUUUCCUAUAAGUCUUUGCUUGUGUUCACCUGCUAGCAAACUGGAGUGUUUCCCUCCCCAAGGGGGUGUCAGUCUUUGUCGACUGACUCUGUCAUCACCCUUAUGAUGUCCUGAAUGGAAGGAUCCCUUUGGGAAAUUCUCAGGAGGGGGACCUGGGCCAAGGGCUUGGCCAGCAUCCUGCUGGCAACUCCAAGGCCCUGGGUGGGCUUCUGGAAUGAGCAUGCUACUGAAUCACCAAAGGCACGCCCGACCUCUCUGAAGAUCUUCCUAUCCUUUUCUGGGGGAAUGGGGUCGAUGAGAGCAACCUCCUAGGGUUGUUGUGAGAAUUAAAUGAGAUAAAAGAGGCCUCAGGCAGGAUCUGGCAUAGAGGAGGUGAUCAGCAAAUGUUUGUUGAAAAGGUUUGACAGGUCAGUCCCUUCCCACCCCUCUUGCUUGUCUUACUUGUCUUAUUUAUUCUCCAACAGCACUCCAGGCAGCCCUUGUCCACGGGCUCUCCUUGCAUCAGGGCUAAUCUCGGGCCUUGUCGAAGGAAGAGGCUGCAGACGUUAAUGAGGUUAGCUGCUGGAUUCCAGUAUUCGUCGCAUAAGGAUCCUUCUUUGUCUGCGAAGGAAAAACACACUGAUUAUCAUAAUGAGCAGGUUCCCAGUGCCCCCGACAAGCCCCUGCUGGUGUCUCCAUCUCCUGCCAAGCAUCCUCCAGUGCCUCCUCCUGUGGGCCUGGCCUCAGGGCUAUGGACAGACUCCUGUCCCAUCCCAGAGACCCCUCGUGAUCGUGCCCUGGCACGUGGGCCGUGGCCCGGCUGGGUCGGCUGAAGAACUGCGGAUGGAAGCUGCGGAAGAGGCCCUGAUGGGGCCCACCAUCCCGGACCCAAGUCUUCUUCCUGGCGGGCCUCUCGUCUCCUUCCUGGUUUGGGCGGAAGCCAUCACCUGGAUGCCUACGUGGGAAGGGACCUCGAAUGUGGGACCCCAGCCCCUCUCCAGCUCGAAAUCCCUCCACAGCCACGGGGACACCCUGCACCUAUUCCCACGGGACAGGCUGGACCCAGAGACUCUGGACCCGGGGCCUCCCCUUGAGUAGAGACCCGCCCUCUGACUGAUGGACGCCGCUGACCUGGGGUCAGACCCGUGGGCUGGACCCCUGCCCACCCCGCAGGAACCCUGAGGCCUAGGGGAGCUGUUGAGCCUUCAGUGUCUGCAUGUGGGAAGUGGGCUCCUUCACCUACCUCACAGGGCUGUUGUGAGGGGCGCUGUGAUGCGGUUCCAAAGCACAGGGCUUGGCGCACCCCACUGUGCUCUCAAUAAAUGUGUUUCCUGUCUUAACAAAAA